UAGGGAAUCUUCCACAAUGGGCGAAAGCCUGAUGGAGCAACGCCGCGUGUGUGAUGAAGGGUUUCGGCUCGUAAAACACUGUUGUAAGAGAAGAAUGACAUUGAGAGUACUGUUCAAUGUGUGACGGUAUCUUACCAGAAAGGAACGGCUAAAUACGUGCCAG
RNAcentral lists this ribosomal RNA (163 nucleotides) under uncultured bacterium. RNAcentral describes it as "partial 16S rRNA". It matches the Rfam family "Bacterial small subunit ribosomal RNA", at positions 355 to 511 of the family's 1533-position model. The record is from RNAcentral.